Molecule: non-coding RNA, 1878 nt
Organism: Anolis sagrei ordinatus
Lineage: Eukaryota; Metazoa; Chordata; Lepidosauria; Squamata; Anolidae
Source: RefSeq, a predicted model, not a curated record
GCCCAGCUGGAAGUGAGAUAAUAAUACUGUAACCGGUGGGAAGGAGGCUUGCAUGCAAGUGUGUGUGUUUUGUUUGUACAAAGCCAACCUAAAUUUGGUAUCUUCGCAGGAAAAUGGGUUUUGUGUUUCUUUUAGUUAACAUUCAGGCCUGAAACAGGUUUCUACCUUGAUCUGCUGCUUUGCAAAAGUGUUCUUCAGGUGCUGAAGUGGUGUAAGAAUGGACCCAGUGGAAUACGGAUCAGUUUUCAAGUUCCAUUACUUGAAAGGCCGCAUACCAGAGGAGGCGUUCAAUGAGAUGAAAGAGGCUUAUGCACCUACACAUCUGAACUGCAUAAUGGAAAGUGUUUCUAAAACAUCAAUUUAUGCUCCACGAUUUAUAAAACAGCCCUGAAGCAGCUUACACUAUAAUGGAGUCUCGAAAACUAAGAUAAGCAGUUACAACAGCCGUUGCUAAAAUAAGCAUGAGGCACCCUCCAAGUUCAAGGUCUCUUCAAAGAGAAAUGCCAGCCUGUGGUGAAAAAGCUGAGAAGGUGUAUCAGCGAUUUAUCAGCUCCCUGAAGAAGAUGGGAAACGGCAAGGAUUCUGAGAAAAUCAAAACUUCCCUCCAGUAACAUAACAAGGAAAGAAAAAAGGCCAUUAAAGACCUCAAUUGGGAUUCAGAAAGACUUUAUACUAGCCUAAAGAAGCUAAACACAGUUGAUUUACUGGCCUAACAAUAGAGAACUUUUUAUAUCCUAGGAUAACAUGGAAGUUUACGUCCCUAGAGUUGUAUAUUCCUGCUUGCAUGCGCUGGAUGGGUGGAUGCGUGCUUGAGGGUAGGAUGCUUGGUUCUUUUGUAUGAGUGUGUGCGUGAGAGAAUGAUCUCCCCCCCCCCCUACUUCCCCCCACCUCCUCACUCUUAUUUCUUGUUCCUACUGUCUAGGGAUUGGUUAUUGUAGUAAUUGUUUAUUAAUUGUGUAAUGUGUUAAGUUGUUAACUGUUUUUACACUGUUGCACUGCAUUUUUGCUAUUCUUAUUGGUUGUGAACCGCUGUGAGUUGCCUUCGGGCUGAGAACAGCAGUAUAGAAGUAAAGUAAAUAAAUAAAUAUCCUAACUAUUGUUCCCCCACUUUUAAUGUAUUCAGAAAUUCACAAUAAAAAUUACAAGAAAAGAAAAGAAAUCGUUCUCCCGGCAGAUAAAGGUGUAAUGACCACGGUCAUCAUGAAAACAGAACGAUCUAGAGAAAAAGCCAGACAACUGUUGGAUCCCACAACAUACGGAAAACUAAAAUGGGACCCAACCAAUAAAAUCACAAGAAAAACCAACUGAUUAAGAAUGCUUAAUCCUAACAUAUGCCAAAAUCUAUGAAAAUCUGACGCUCUCCCUUCUAGGCUUUGUAGAUUCAAAAUACUCCACAAGGACCCAUUGUGGGCACCAUGAGGAGCCCUACAUACGGUUUGGCAAAAUUUUGGGCUGCACAACUACAAACCCAUAUUGGACUUACUGCGCACUAUGAUACGGACUCUGCUCAUGUCAUAGAAAAGUCAGCAGUAAAACUCCGCACCAAUGACAAACGGGACCACUUAAAUGUGGUUUCCCUAUUCAAGGUCCCCAUAGUAGAUGCAUCAACUGGAAUUUCCCUUUAAAUUAUUAUUAAAUAUAUGUUUUUAUUGCCGACACAAGCAGAAUGAUAUCACAAUCUUUGUGGUUUGAGAUUUUACCUUGGCAUUUUAAUAAUAUUUUUAAUUAUUUUUUAACUUAAGUUUGAGUGUAUGUUAGUUCAGUAUUAUGGGAGUCUCAGAAUAGUGAUUAUUGUCUAUUUGUGUACAUUUUUGUUUUUAAUGAUAUGGUCAGUGGACUAAUCAAUAAACUUUGCUUUGCUUAAGGCAGAUAUCACAA